AGCUACAGAUUCUAGCGCAACUUUACGAGAAUUGAAUAGGAGCCAACAUCACCAUGCUAAGUCGGGUAAUUUUCCACACUUCCAUUUUUGUAUUGAAUGCAGUUAUACAAGUUUAAAAUACAGUCUCAAGUUUGAAAAUCUCAGAACCAUAGGUCUAAGAGUUACACUUCUCAUAGCAAGCAGUAUAAAGUUGUUUCUGUUUUAGGGAGAAAUAUGAAAACUUAAUAAAGUUAUAGCUGAAAUGAAAAACCAUGUACACAAAAUUCGUUGAUGAUCCUCCUGUAAACGUUUUUAAAUAAAUCUCCACUAAUAAGAUUCAACUUAUCUUACUACAUAUACAUAUUGCUGAAUACAGAAAAGCUAUCCAAUAAAUAUUUUAUCCUUUUAACCAACCUUUAUAUAUAUAUUUUUAGGUUUCCAUGGUUAUCUUCACUGUUGUAGAGUCGUUAUUGGUUUUCAAUCAAAGACCGGCUGGUCAGGGUAUCAGCUAAACGCACGAAAAACAGCCACAUUCGAGUGUGUAGUGAUGAUAGACGCUUGAAUUGUGAGAGCUGAGCAUUCAUCCUACCAGUUUGUGCUUCCAUUUACCUUAAUUCUUUACACAUAAAUGAUAUGUUACGUCACAAUGUGCAGUAGAGUAGUAAGGGAUAGUGGUUAGAAAGUGGUAUAAAAAAAGCAACAGUACUAUUUGCUAGAUCAAAAAAAGCUCGUUAUUAUUCCUAUAAUAUAGACUUGUAAGUUAUCCCAUUCAUGUAUUAUUUC
RNAcentral lists this long non-coding RNA (762 nucleotides) under Eutrema salsugineum. RNAcentral's name for it is "long non-coding RNA (ESAL_LNC002079)". Lineage: Eukaryota; Viridiplantae; Streptophyta; Magnoliopsida; Brassicales; Brassicaceae. The record is from RNAcentral.